AAGUUUUUCUUUGAAGUUAAGGGAAAAUGUGGUGUACGAAUAACAGUGCAAUCCUCCCUGUGGCAUGAGGUCAAUGCAAAUGCAUACUUCAUCAUGCCUAAGGAGAAUUGCCCUGCUAUUCACUACCACAAGUCAGUUGCAUACACAUUGUGUUCAUUUUCCUUGAAAAAUUUUCUUGAAAAAGAGAAGUAUAAUUAUUUUGAGACGCCAUCGCGACAUUCAUUACCAUGUUUUCCAUUCCAUUAAAAGAGUUCAUACUACAUAUUCGAAUUGCAAGUAAAAAAUGAGCAAAAAUUUUACUUCACUUGACUUUUCUUGUGCACUGUGAGUCCCAAUGCUUCUUCUAUAUCUAAAUCUUCAGUAAAUAUUCCUUCACGAAGUGACCAAUUAAAUAGAGCCAGAAGAUUAGCAACGGCAAGCUCAAUGACUGGGACAGAAAAAUCAAUUCCAGGACAACUCCUCCCUGUCCCGUACCGGAUCAGCUCAAAAUUUUGCCCUCUGGAAUCCACAGAGCUAUUCAAGAAUCUUUCUGGCUUGAAGUCAUUUCGCUUUUCCCAGAAUGUAGGGUCAGUAGCAAUUGAAGCUCUUGUUUUGACCCGAAUUUGGAACCCUCCUAUCAUGCAACUCUCAAGAGUUUCUGGAGGAACAAGUAAAGGGGCGGGUGGAUGCAGUCUCAAUGACACUUUUACUACCAGAUUUAGGUAGACUGAUUGCUUGGGCUGCAUCUCCCUGGAUUCGGAGCAAUACAUCAACAGGAUCAUCGUGGUCGGGUUUAAUUCUCUGGGGAUCGUGAUGCUCCUGUAUUAACUUGUCAAAGAAAUCAUCCAGCUCCCUGAAGUUCUUAUCGAGCCUUGAAUCCAUGGCAUUAAACUUGUUAAGCCAUUCCAUCGAUUCAAAAAAAUCAGCAAUAUUGGGUUCAACUAGCAAGUUUUGUGGUUCAUGAAGAAUUGCAUGGAAUCCGCUAUUGCCACCAUGACUACGACCAAAAGCAGGACGACAAAUAACAUUUUUGGAGAGGGUAAAAGACAGUUAGCUAAUGUUGAUAGGAAUAUUUGGUGAACAAGAUAGUAUUGUGUUGACCACUGAAGACACCUCUUCAUCACAAAUUGCCUUAAAAGAUUGCACUCUUUUUGCACUUAGCAAC
This is a long non-coding RNA of Coffea arabica (coffee), 1144 nucleotides long. RefSeq lists it as uncharacterized. The record is from RefSeq and is a predicted model, not a curated record. NCBI's taxonomy places the organism in Eukaryota, Viridiplantae, Streptophyta, Magnoliopsida, Gentianales, Rubiaceae.